This 254-nucleotide ribosomal RNA is filed under the name uncultured bacterium. RNAcentral's name for it is "partial 16S ribosomal RNA". It matches the Rfam family "Bacterial small subunit ribosomal RNA", at positions 524 to 776 of the family's 1533-position model. The record is from RNAcentral.
CACGUAGGGGGCAAGCGUUGUCCGGAUUUAUUGGGCGUAAAGAGCUCGUAGGCGGUUUCGUAAGUCGGGUGUGAAAACUCUAGGCUCAACCUAGAGACGCCACCCGAUACUGCGAUGACUAGAGUCCGGUAGGGGAGUGUGGAAUUCCUGGUGUAGCGGUGAAAUGCGCAGAUAUCAGGAAGAACACCAACGGCGAAGGCAGCACUCUGGGCCGGAACUGACGCUGAGGAGCGAAAGCGUGGGUAGCGAACAGG